This 64-nucleotide transfer RNA is filed under the name Turanogryllus eous. RNAcentral describes it as "tRNA-Asp". The record is from RNAcentral. Lineage: Eukaryota; Metazoa; Arthropoda; Insecta; Orthoptera; Gryllidae.
AAGAAAUUAGUUAAUCAUAACAUUAAUAUGUCAUAUUAAAAUUAUUACAUUGUAAUAUUUCUUA